AUUGAGCGCUGGCGGCAUGCUUUACACAUGCAAGUCGAACGGCAGCGCGGGGCAACCUGGCGGCGAGUGGCGAACGGGUGAGUAAUAUAUCGGAACGUACCCAGAAGUGGGGGAUAACGUAGCGAAAGUUACGCUAAUACCGCAUACGAUCUACGGAUGAAAGUAGGGGACCGCAAGGCCUUAUGCUUUUGGAGCGGCCGAUAUCUGAUUAGCUAGUUGGUGAGGUAAAGGCUCACCAAGGCGACGAUCAGUAGCUGGUCUGAGAGGACGACCAGCCACACUGGAACUGAGACACGGUCCAGACUCCUACGGGAGGCAGCAGUGGGGAAUUUUGGACAAUGGGCGCAAGCCUGAUCCAGCAAUGCCGCGUGAGUGAAGAAGGCCUUCGGGUUGUAAAGCUCUUUUGUCAGGGAAGAAACGGUAGAGGCUAAUAUCCUUUGCUAAUGACGGUACCUGAAGAAUAAGCACCGGCUAACUACGUG
RNAcentral lists this ribosomal RNA (482 nucleotides) under uncultured bacterium. RNAcentral describes it as "partial 16S ribosomal RNA". It matches the Rfam family "Bacterial small subunit ribosomal RNA", at positions 30 to 507 of the family's 1533-position model. The record is from RNAcentral.